UACGUAGGAGGCGAGCGUUGUCCGGAAUCACUGGGCGUAAAGCGCGUGUAGGUGGGUCGUUAAGUGUCCGCGUGAAAUCCCACGGCUCAACCGUGGAACUGCCGGGCAUACUGGCGAUCUUGAGGCAUUCAGGGGCGAGCGGAACAAAUGGUGGAGCGGUGAAAUGCGUAGAUAUCAUUUGGAACGCCAAUGGUGAAAACAGCUCGCUGGGAAUGAUCUGACACUGAGACGCGAAAGCCAGGGGAGCGAACGGG
Molecule: ribosomal RNA, 254 nt
Filed under: uncultured bacterium
Lineage: Bacteria
Description: partial 16S ribosomal RNA
Rfam family: Bacterial small subunit ribosomal RNA
Source: RNAcentral